ACUGCCCUCUCCUGGAAGUCUACAGGUCAUGCAGAAUCGAAAUUACGGAAGAUCAUAUUUAAAAAAAAUACGUAAAAUAUAUAUUUCCUUCCAAACUGAGAAUUUCGUUCGGUAGAUAAAAUUAAUUUUGAUAUAAUAUUUAUAUAACCAUUAGAUAUUUACGUCACUGUCUCCCACAAUCCCUAGCGCCGGUGAAGUGACCUCUGUAGUGCACAAACCGGUAUUUGCAAACUGAAGCUAUGGCUCCUCCCGUCGCUGUAUCUCCACUGAUCAAGACCGCCAGGUAUUCAGCAUUAAUUGCUGGGAUCAUCUAUGGAAAAAGGAGAUAUGGUGA
Gadus morhua (Atlantic cod) is the source of this 334-nucleotide long non-coding RNA. RefSeq lists it as uncharacterized. NCBI's taxonomy places the organism in Eukaryota, Metazoa, Chordata, Actinopteri, Gadiformes, Gadidae. The transcript has 2 exons. The record is from RefSeq and is a predicted model, not a curated record.